Molecule: ribosomal RNA, 425 nt
Filed under: uncultured bacterium
Lineage: Bacteria
Description: bacterial SSU rRNA
Rfam family: Bacterial small subunit ribosomal RNA
Source: RNAcentral
AGAGUUUGAUCCUGGCUCAGAAUGAACGUUGGCGGCGUGCCUAACACAUGCAAGUCGAGCGUGAAAGUCCUUCGGGAUGAGUAAAGCGGCGGACGGGUGAGUAACGCGUGAGAAUUUACCUUUUAGUGGAGAAUACCUUUGAGAAAUCAAAGUUAAUACUGCAUACGUCUCGAAAGAGAGAAAGAUGGCCUAAUUGCUGUCGCUAGAAGAUAAGCUUGCGUUCUAUUAGUUAGUUGGUGAGGUAAUGGCUCACCAAGACGAUGAUGGAUAGCCGGCCUGAGAGGGCGAACGGCCACAUUGGAACUUAGACACGGUCCAAACUCCUACGGGAGGCAGCAGUGAGGAAUAUUGCACAAUGGGCGAAAGCCUGAUGCAGCGACGCCGCGUGGAGGAUGAAGGUUUUCGGAUUGUAAACUCCUGUUAAG